Long non-coding RNA from Branchiostoma floridae (Florida lancelet), 1371 nucleotides. RefSeq lists it as uncharacterized. Lineage: Eukaryota; Metazoa; Chordata; Leptocardii; Amphioxiformes; Branchiostomatidae. The record is from RefSeq and is a predicted model, not a curated record. The transcript is spliced from 3 exons.
GGGAUAUUUUUUGGCACAGAGAUCAAAUGACAAGUCAAUCAAGUUUUCGCGUCUGUGUGAGAUGCAAACUGAAUCGUGCAAAUGAAGCCUAUGAUCUCACUGUUACCUGGGUUGCAUCAGGAGAGGCCGUGGUUGUCAAGACAACACCAAUUAGGUCAGACUUACCUUCCGGCAUAGCUAGCUGUGACUAAACCCUCAUAAUAACAUUCACGUUGUUGUGCUCGUGGUGUGUUUGGGCGUGCAGCCGGCUACAGCAGCUCAGACCGUGUCUUUUUCAUUCCUCAACCGUAAUCCCUCAACAGGUCGUAAUUGUCAACAAUGAGCGAGAACAACAACGCAACCACAUCUCCCGCCACUGAUCAUUCCGAGGAUACCAUGGAACCACUGCUUGACCCAGCAGACGAGAAAAUCCUCAAAUUCAGCAGUGUGUACAUGAUAGGCAAACACGCCCUGCUUGUCUGCUUCUACACCACCUUACUCUUCGGUGCCUUCUACCAACCGUGUCCUAUGCAGUGUGCCGCUCUGUGGAUAGUGUGCAUACUCGGUGUCAUUCAUAGCAUCAGCAGCAUCAUGUAUGAGGUUUUCAUGGUAUGGGCCUUCAAAGACCUCCAGUCUCUCAUGGAGAAAUCUGAAAAGUCAGGGCCACGUUAGAUAUAUGAAAGACCAAUAUCCCAACGUGGAUUCUUUUCGCAUACGUAUGAAUAUUGUUUGCCAGAAAAAUAAAACUACUCAGUGUUCAGUGUAAUUGAGAUUUAGUAAAGAUAUGGAAAGACAUUUGGGGUAGUUUUCCACCAUCUUUUCUCAAAUGUAUUUUUGUCAAAGAAACAUGGAGACGAAAGAUGUGAAAACAUGUAGAAUAUCUGAUGACGACAAGAAAUACCUGAGUGAAGAUUAGGAUUUUUAGUGUAUGUGUAACACUUGUAAAAAAAAAUGCCAGCUGUGUAAACGCUAUUACUCUGUAACUGUCUACAAUGAAAGCUGACUGUGUUUAAAUUUGUUGAGUGAUAUCUAUUUGUACCAUACCACUUAUUUGCUGGAUAAUUGUAAUGAACUUUGAUCUGUUUAGUUUUUCAUCUAUUACGUCAGUAAAGUAAUCCAAGGUAAAUGAGCAUGUAUCCAGCGUCGUUAAUCCGUUAAUUACAGUUAUUCUUUACAUUGCUAAGUCGAGCACAGUGUGUCGUCUGCUGUCAGUUGAUAUGCAGAUGUAGUAGGGUCAAUUUGCAGUUAGCCUGUGGCAAUUAUAUGUUUAGUUUUGUAGUUUGGCAGUUUACUUCUGUGCAGAUAAUAGAUAUGCAUCUACGUACACGACAGUACGAUAGGUUUAUUAGACUGUUCGUUAGGCAUAGUCCCUUAUAUGAUUAAAAUACUGGA